This 322-nucleotide ribosomal RNA is filed under the name uncultured soil bacterium. Its description in RNAcentral is "bacterial SSU rRNA". It matches the Rfam family "Bacterial small subunit ribosomal RNA", at positions 26 to 340 of the family's 1533-position model. The record is from RNAcentral.
AGAGUGAACGCUGGUGGUAGGCCUAACACAUGCAAGUCGAACGGCAGCACAGUAGGAGCUUGCUCUUACGGGUGGCGAGUGGCGGACGGGUGAGGAAUACAUCGGAAUCUACCUUUUGGUGGGGGAUAACGUAGGGAAACUUACGCUAAUACCGCAUACGCCCUUCGGGGGAAAGCCGGGACCAGCAAUGGCCUGGUGCUGAUAGAUGAGCCGAUGUCGGAUUAGCUAGUUGUGAGUAUGGCUCACCAAGGCGACGAUCCGUAGCUGGUCUGAGAGGAUGAUCAGCCUACACGUGGAACUGACGUACACGGUCAGUACUCCG